RNAcentral lists this ribosomal RNA (253 nucleotides) under uncultured prokaryote. RNAcentral describes it as "partial 16S ribosomal RNA". It matches the Rfam family "Bacterial small subunit ribosomal RNA", at positions 524 to 776 of the family's 1533-position model. The record is from RNAcentral.
UACAGAGGGUGCGAGCGUUGUUCGGAAUUAUUGGGCGUAAAGAGCGUGUAGGCGGCCUGAAAGGUCAGCUGUGAAAACUUGAGGCUUAACCUCGAGACGUCGGUUGAAACCAUCUGGCUAGAGUCCGGAAGAGGAGUGUGGAAUUCCCGGUGUAGCAGUGAAAUGCGCAGAUAUCGGGAAGAACACCCGUGGCGAAGGCGGCACUCUGGGACGGUACUGACGCUGAGACGCGAAAGCGUGGGGAGCGAACAGG